RNAcentral lists this ribosomal RNA (464 nucleotides) under uncultured bacterium. Its description in RNAcentral is "partial 16S ribosomal RNA". It matches the Rfam family "Bacterial small subunit ribosomal RNA", at positions 339 to 795 of the family's 1533-position model. The record is from RNAcentral.
CUACGGGGCGCUCCAGUGAGGAAUUUUGCGCAAUGGGGGAAACCCUGACGCAGCAACGCCGCGUGAGCGAAGAAGGCCCUCGGGUCGUAAAGCUCUGUCAAGUGGGAAAAAAAUCUUUUGAUCAAUAGUCAAAAGACUUGAUGGUACCACUGGAGGAAGCACCGGCUAACUCCGUGCCAGCAGCCGCGGUAAUACGGAGGGUGCAAGCGUUGUUCGGAUUUACUGGGCGUAAAGAGCGUGUAGGCGGUUUAGCAAGUCAGAUGUGAAAGCCCUGGGCUCAACCCGGGAAGUGCAUUUGAAACUGCUUCACUAGAGGAUGGGAGAGGGGAUUGGAAUUCCUGGUGUAGAGGUGAAAUUCGUAGAUAUCAGGAGGAACACCCGUGGCGAAGGCGAUUCUCUGGACCAAUACUGACGCUGAGACGCGAAAGCGUGGGGAGCAAACAGGAUUAGAUACCCCCGUAGUC